AAAGAGAGAUUGGGGAGUGAUUGGUAAUUAACAUGGCGUUUCUUUUUAGGGUAAUAAAAUAUUCUGGAACCCGGCAUUUUGGGGGGAGGGUAAUAAGAUAUUCUGGAAUUAGAUAUUGAUGAUGUUUGCACAUGUCCAUGGAUAUACUAGGAAAUAUUGAAUUGUGCUCUUUAUUUGAAAAAGAUAAUUUUACUGUAUGUGAUUUAUAUCUCAAUAAAUCUGUUAUUUAUAAAAUAUGCUAAGGGGAAAAUCAGAGUUACUGGACUCCUCUGAGUUAGGUUCACCUUACUCAUUUCUGAGCAAUAGACAAGAGUGCAAAUAGACGUCCGUAUGCCACAAGUCAAAUGUUUUAAAAUUGUGAAUCAAGCAAUCACAGUCUUAAAUGUGUUUUAUUCCCUUGCACUGACAAAUACAUCUUCAUCCAGGAACAGUUCUAUACUGUUGGCUAUGGGAAAUGAGCAAGGGCUUUAAGAAGAACAAAGAUGUGAUAGUAUCAUUAUUUCUGAAACAGCUUGUUGGUGGCCCUGUCAAGGUGUAGGUAGAGGAAAGCCUGGGGAUGGUAGCAGUAAGUAAGCAGUGGUGAUCACCCUCCCCAGAAUUGAGGUGGACACAAACCAAUAUCAUAGUAUGGAGAUAGUUUGGCAGAUAGAUCAGGCACGCUAAAACUGGGUCAGCAGAGAUAGAUAGAUGUAGAAGGAGGAAGAGAUGUGAGAAAGGAGAAAGAGGUGGCUGACCUUUAGAACUUCACUGACUCAGGCUGGUGACAUCAUUAACUAAGAGAUAAAAGAAGAAGUAGGUUUCUUCUUUUAUCAGGUGGGAGUAGAGGAACUUUGAGAGCUGGGCUUUGGGUAUGUGAGGCUGAGCUAUGUGUAGGAUAUUAGGUGGAAAUUACCAAUUAGUAUUGAGAAGCACAUGCUUGGAGUAUAGAAAAGGGGUCUGAGUUAGUAAAAUGAUUUAGAAGUCCCUGGAAUCGUCAGAGUCCCAGGGGGGAUUAAGAACCAAAUGGAAUGAAACACAACAGACCAGUACCAUUAAUAAUUAGACUCUGAAAUGUUCCUACUUAAACAAAAGACAAAGAUAACACCAUUUGCAAGAAACUGUCAUGAUGUGUAGUAGAGUCUUCAUGGUGAGCUUGAUGCUUUUGGUUAGAAAAUGGUGAAUAUAGGGCAACUGGAUGGCUCAGUGGUUGAGUGUCUGCCUUCAGCUCAGUUCAUGAUCCCGGGGUCCUGGGAUUGAGUUCUGCUCCAAGUAAGGAGCCGGCUUCUCCCUCUACCUAUGUCUCUGCCUCUCUCUGUGUGUUUCUCAUGAAUUAAGCAAACAAAAUCUUACAAAAAAAGAAAAUGGUUAUUAUAAUAUGAUCCAUAACCAGUAACAGGUGGGAAGAACAAAUAAAAUCAGCCAAAUUAUAAUGGAAAAGACAUAGAACUGAAUUUUUCAUUUAUAUAUAAAUUAUAGCUUAUAUUUAAAAAUAUACAUACAACAAAAAUAUAUUACUGGUGAAGUUUUGCUUCUUAGGAUUCUUUUGCUGUGAUAACCUGUGUUUGAAAGAAGAAAAAUAGGCUGUUAAUUCUUAAUUGCCUUAACUGGCUGAUGAUGCUAGUUAAUGUUGUUAUUAGAUUUAUACCUGAAAGUACUUCAGAACCAUUAAUUAGACAUUUCUUAUCAGCUCUCUGCAUUAGACAUUACCAGCCUGCUUGCUGCUGCCAUUCCCCCACGUGCUAUAAUUUAUGCCAGAUGGUGUGACUUGUUCACUGGGAAAAGUACUUCAAACCGAGAACCUGCUGGUUUUUGGUUAUUGGAAGAGCAUUGAUUUGAGUUUGGUGUUGCAAAGUGUUUCAUUUGUUUACUUGCCAAAUGAGUAAAAUAUGCAUGUUUUCACUGGCUUAAAUUUCUGUCUAAAAUACUUUUCUGUACUUUGAUUGGCAAGGCACAGAACUGUUACUCUAUCCUGUCAUCCAGGUCUGGCUUCAGGAGUCCCUACUCUCACCUCCUCACCGGGAAGAGGCUGUGUUGUUUCUUUGGAUUCGUUGGCAUUUGUGCAUUUCUAAGAGAGACAGGUAUCUGCACAAUAAGUGAUUGGACUUAGUUGGAGGAAUAUGGAAAGGUUGGAAGUUGAAUGUGUUAAUCAGGUUUCUUAUUAUCAAUAAGCAGCAAUCAUGUAAUUUCAGUGAGCUGUGAAGGUGAUAGGUUUAGGCCAUAUUCUAAAAGAAAUAAAGAUUAUAUGCCUCUCCGUUUCAGUUCUACCAAAAUGUCCAUGUCCUCCUCUUCUUUCCUGGCUUUUAGAAAUCCUAUAGCAGGACGGACUGUCACCUGCCUCUGUGAUUUACAAGUCAUGCUCUUUUAUGUCUGGAUCUGCAUCCUAUUGUAAUGCUCUGAUUGGAUUUGAAAUGGGUUGCUCUGAGGUAGGUUUUCUCAUAAUCUGAUGGUGGGAGUAAAAAUUGGCAUGACUUUUAUGGAAAGCCUUUUAGCAACAUGUGUUAGAGUAUUUUAAUCUAUUCUAAUUUUAUCUGUUCAAUAGAAAUAAUAUGCGGUGUGGACAAAUACCUACUUAUAAAAAUAUUCAUUACUAUAUUUAUAGUAAUAAAAUAUGGAAAACAACUAUCUAUCAAUAGAAGAGUGAUCAAAUACAUCAUGGAAUAGAGAGAGCUCUUGUAAAUCAACAAGAAAAAGAUGAUGUCCCCGAAUAGAAAAUGGUUAAUGGAAAUGAAAUGCAGUUCACCAAAAAGAAAUGCAAAUGGCUAAGAAGCAUUUGAACAGAUGUUCAUUCUCAUUAGGAAUCAAAGGAUACAAAUGAAAAUAAUGAUAUAUUAUUUUAACUAUUAGGAAAGAUGAAACUGUUCCAUUGAUGAGGAGGUAGAAAUCAGGCAUUCUCAUUUACUCUUCAUUGGAGUGUAAUUGGCACAAAUGUGGAGGGGGAGAAAUUUGAAUGGGAGAGAGCAUACUUUUGACUCAGCAGUGCACUUCUAAGAUUGUAUUUUAAAAAUAAUCAACAAGUCUACAAAGGACAUGUAUAGGAUAUUUACCAGUUACACUCAUGCUAGUGAAAACUGAGAAUAAUCCAAAACCCAUUAGUAGGUGAUUGUUAAAUACAUGAUAGUACAACCACAUGAGGGAAUACUAUAUAGCCAUUAAAAACUAAUGUAGAUCAAGGGGUGCCUGGGUGCCUGACUCUGAGUCUGUUAAGCCACCAACUCUUGAUUUCAGCUCAGGUCAUGAUCUUGGGUUGGUGGGCUCAAGCCCCACAUCAGGCUCCAUGGUGGGUUUGGAGUCUGCUUGAGAUUCUCUGCCUCUCUCUCUCUCUCACUCUGCCCCUCCCCCAGCUUGUGCAUGUACACACAC
RNAcentral lists this long non-coding RNA (3339 nucleotides) under Canis lupus familiaris (dog). RNAcentral describes it as "lncRNA (ENSCAFG00845007888.1)". Lineage: Eukaryota; Metazoa; Chordata; Mammalia; Carnivora; Canidae. The record is from RNAcentral.